Molecule: ribosomal RNA, 974 nt
Filed under: Salinibacterium amurskyense
Lineage: Bacteria; Bacillati; Actinomycetota; Actinomycetes; Micrococcales; Microbacteriaceae
Description: bacterial SSU rRNA
Rfam family: Bacterial small subunit ribosomal RNA
Source: RNAcentral
UACUGCAGAAAAGCACGGCUAGCUACGUCCAGCAGCGCGGUAUACGUAGGUGCAAGCGUAUCCGGAUUAUUGGCGUAAGAGCUCGUAGGCGGUUGUCGCGUCUGCUGUGAAACUGGGGGCUCAACCCCCAGCCUGCAGUGGUACGGGCAGACUAGAGUGCGGUAGGGGAGAUUGGAAUUCCUGGUGUAGCGGUGGAAUGCGCAGAUAUCAGGAGGAACACCGAUGGCGAAGGCAGAUCUCUGGGCCGUAACUGACGCUGAGGAGCGAAAGCAUGGGGAGCGAACAGGAUUAGAUACCCUGGUAGUCCAUGCCGUAAACGUUGGGAACUAGAUGUAGGGGCCAUUCCACGGUUUCUGUGUCGCAGCUAACGCAUUAAGUUCCCCGCCUGGGGAGUACGGCCGCAAGGCUAAAACUCAAAGGAAUUGACGGGGGCCCGCACAAGCGGCGGAGCAUGCGGAUUAAUUCGAUGCAACGCGAAGAACCUUACCAAGACUUGACAUAUACGAGAACGGGCUAGAAAUAGUUCACUCUUUGGACACUCGUAAACAGGUGGUGCAUGGUUGUCGUCAGCUCGUGUCGUGAGAUGUUGGGUUAAGUCCCGCAACGAGCGCAACCCUCGUUCUUUGUUGCCAGCACGUAAUGGUGGGAACUCAAAGGAGACUGCCGGGGUCAACUCGGAGGAAGGUGGGGAUGACGUCAAAUCAUCAUGCCCCUUAUGUCUUGGGCUUCACGCAUGCUACAAUGGCCGAUACAAAGGGCUGCAAUACCGCGAGGUGGAGCGAAUCCCAAAAAGUCGGUCUCAGUUCGGAUUGAGGUCUGCAACUCGACCUCAUGAAGUCGGAGUCGCUAGUAAUCGCAGAUCAGCAACGCUGCGGUGAAUACGUUCCCGGGCCUUGUACACACCGCCCGUCAAGUCAUGAAAGUCGGUAACACCCGAAGCCAGUGGCCCAACCGCAAGGAGGGAGCUUUUUUUG